RNAcentral lists this ribosomal RNA (730 nucleotides) under Proasellus sp. n. Boreon. RNAcentral's name for it is "partial 28S ribosomal RNA". It matches the Rfam family "Eukaryotic large subunit ribosomal RNA", at positions 416 to 898 of the family's 3401-position model. The record is from RNAcentral. Lineage: Eukaryota; Metazoa; Arthropoda; Malacostraca; Isopoda; Asellidae.
AAAGCGGAUGUACAUACGUAGCCGAUAAGGGGGCCUCAUCUCCUCGAGCCUCCAGCGGCCGUCGCGUUCGGACCUUCGCUUUACGUCCUCACUUCGGUGGGGAUCGGCUUAAGCGAUGGCCGUCGCGGCGGCGGACUCGGAGGAUGGGGGGGUGGAUUUCCCUCCUUAGUAGGCAGUCGCGGCCGUUCUAGAGUUGUCUAAGACCCGGGAGUCGGGAACCGUCCGGCGAAUAAUACUCGCGGGCGGGGACGCUCCCUCGAUUCUGGCGGACUCUAGGACGGUUGCUAAAAAAUGACGACGUAGAAGAAAGCAAAUCUCUCGUCGUACGCGGCUGUGAUGCGAUCGUUCAUCCGUCCCGUCUUGAAACACGGACCAAGGAGUCUAACAUGUACGCGAGUCAACGGGUUGGCUAAACCCCAAGGCGCAACGAAAGUAAAAAAGAGCGUGUCCCCUUUAACUCAGAGGGGAAAAGCUCGUUGGGUCGAUCCGUGAUCCACCACUUAUUACUAGAAAUAGUAGUAGGAGGUAGGACCGGCGCAGACCCGGGGCUCGCCUCUACCUCUUCGAGACUUCCUCCUCCUCCGCUUUGCGGCGGCGGCGGUCGUCACGAGGCGGGUGGCGGGCACCUAGAGCGUACAUGCUAGUACCCGAAAGAUGGUGAUCUAUGCUUGGCCAGGAUGAAGCCAGAGGAAACUCUGGUGGAGGUCCGUAGCGAUUCUGACGUGCAAAU